Molecule: small RNA, 552 nt
Filed under: Pongo abelii (Sumatran orangutan)
Lineage: Eukaryota; Metazoa; Chordata; Mammalia; Primates; Hominidae
Description: retained intron
Source: RNAcentral
UGAUAGUUCCUUACACAGUAAUGAUGUUAUGAACAUAGUAAGAAAGGGUCACCUGGUUUAAUUUUAUUAGUUCAUGUGUCAGUUGUGUAAGCUAAUCAUCAUGAGUAUGUGAAACAUUGUUAUUUUCAGGGAGAGUUUGUGUCCAUGGGUGUUAUCUCUGAUGGCAACUCCUAUGGUGUUCCUGAUGAUCUGCUCUACUCAUUCCCUGUUGUAAUCAAGAAUAAGACCUGGAAGUUUGUUGAAGGUCUCCCUAUUAAUGAUUUCUCACGUGAGAAGAUGGAUCUUACUGCAAAGGAACUGACAGAAGAAAAAGAAACUGCUUUUGAAUUUCUUUCCUCUGCCUGACUAGACAAUGAUGUUACUAAAUGCUUCAAAGCUGAAGAAUCUAAAUGUCGUCUUUGACUCAAGUACCAAAUAAUAAUAAUGCUAUACUUAAAUUACUUGUGAAAAACAACACAUUUUAAAGAUUGCGUGCUUCUUGGUACAGAUUUGUGAAUGACAGUUUAUCGUCAUGCUGUUAGUGUGCAUUCUAAAUAAAUAUAUAUUCAAAUG